This 1326-nucleotide long non-coding RNA is filed under the name Bos taurus (domestic cattle). RNAcentral describes it as "long non-coding RNA NONBTAT026253". The record is from RNAcentral. Lineage: Eukaryota; Metazoa; Chordata; Mammalia; Artiodactyla; Bovidae.
CCACCCCCUACUUCAAUCCAUGAUCACUUACAGCUAACAGCCUGACCAUCUGAUCAGCAUUUCCAUUGAUGUAAAAUGUAAGCAUUCAUUCAUUUUGUAGUUACCACCAACGUAUUUUCCCAGCUUAACCCAUGUUCUUGUGUUAAUAUUUCCUUGUGAAAAUAUAAGCCACACGGAUAUAUUUUCAUAAGGUCAAUAGAAAUACAGUAAGAUUUUAAGUUAGGCAGAAUCAACUAUAAAAUAGUAAGAGUGAACCUAGAAGCAUCACAAAAGAUAAUCAGUUCACCGAUGGCAUGUUGUAUGUACUGACAGCCACCGGGUCACAUUCUUUGGAGCUUAAACACAGUGCUGUCUUUUGAGUAAGUAAAAUUAGAGGAUAAAAGGACCUCUGUUAAACCCAGAAAAGGAUUUAGUUUCGUUAAUUCAGUUUCCACCCGCUACACUUCUUCCCUGGAAGAGAACUACCCAUCAACACCCCAAAGCAGGAUUAUCCCAGAGGCAUUUUCUCUUUAACCAUCCUCAAUUAUAGCAUACUUAGGAAAUGUAUCACUGUGAAAUAAAUCAAGCUGCAUCGUAUUACUUUAGUUGUUUUAAGAAAAAACCUCUAUAAAAUAACCCAACUUUAAGCAGUCCUCUUUCCCCACACACAACCUAAGCAUUUAUCUGUCAUAGAACUGCAUGAUUACAAAGCUUUAUUUCUGUAUACAGAUGCUAUUUGUUAAUGAUGGAAACCAAAUUAUUUUGUUGCUGUGUCUUUUGUCUCUAGCAGUUGAGAGAAUUAUUAUGACUAGUAUAUCAUUGGAUUUGAGGGUUGCCAUUGUCAAAAUCAAUUUUCUUGUAUUACUGUAGUUGCAUUAAUUAUUAGAAAAUGAACCAUUCGUUACAUGCACCAAAAUUACAAUAAUUUAAAUAAGACUUUUAAAAGAUGCUCCUAAAUAUAUUCUUUUGUAAGAUGCUAACUAUGCAUUCAUAUAACAGCAGUCCGGUAUAAUGUAGAAAAUGGAAGCACAUAUUUUGGACAGAAAAAUGCCAAUUUACAUACAAUAUAAAAUUAUUAACCCUGUGCAACAAUUAUAGAUUUAAAUAAUGGUCAUAAUAUUUAAUAAGUAUAGACUGUUCCCAUAAUAUUUUGCCUCCAAAAUGCAGUAGCUCAUUUCCUCAACUGCUAUCAGUAGGUCAGAUGCUUUGAUUUUCUUGUUUUUGUUUUUCCAAGUUAUAGUGCUAUACUGCUUGUUUGUGUUUAGAAGUGUGCAUUAUGCGAUUCAUUUUAGUAUGCUAUUUCCAUGUUGUUUAUUUUUUGUUCUUUUAAUAAAACGUGUAAAUUUC